RNAcentral lists this ribosomal RNA (496 nucleotides) under uncultured bacterium. RNAcentral's name for it is "partial 16S ribosomal RNA". It matches the Rfam family "Bacterial small subunit ribosomal RNA", at positions 899 to 1397 of the family's 1533-position model. The record is from RNAcentral.
ACUCAAAUGAAUAGACGGGGACUCGCACAAGCGGUGGAGCAUGUGGUUUAAUUCGAUACAACGCGCAAAACCUUACCAAGGCUUGACAUGGAGGGCAAUGUUGAGGAAACUCAACAGAGGUUAUCCCGACACAGGUGGUGCAUGGUCGUCGUCAGUUCGUGCUGUGAAGUGUAUGCUUAAGUGCUAGAACGAACGCAACCCUCAUGUUUAGUUACUAACAUUUAGUUGAGACUCUCUAAACAGACUGCCAGGGUAAUAACCUGGAGGAAGGAGAGGAUGACGUCUGAUCAUCAUGCCCCUUAUGCCUUGGGCUACACACGUGCUACAAUGGUUAGGACAAAGGGUCGCCAACCCGCAAGGGGGAGCCAAUCCCAAAAAACUAACCCAAGUUCGGAUUGAGGUCUGAAACUCGACCUCAUGAAGUCGGAAUCGCUAGUAAUCGUGAAUCAGCAAUGUCACGGUGAAUACGUUCUCGAGUCUUGUACACACCGCCCGU